CCUACGUGUGGCAGCAGUGGGCACUAUUUCGCAAUGGGCGAAAGCCUGACGCAGCGACGCCGCGUGAGGGAUGAAGGUCUUCGGAUCGUAAACCUCUGUCAGCAGGGAAGAACGGUCACUGUGCUAAUCAGCAGUGAAUUGACGGUACCUGCAAAGGAAGCACCGGCUAACUCCGUGCCAGCAGCCGCGGUAAUACGGAGGGUGCGAGCGUUAAUCGGAAUUACUGGGCGUAAAGCGCUCGUAGGCGGUAUGUCAAGUCAAGGGUGAAAUCCCCGCGCUCAACGUGGGAACUGCCUUUGAAACUGGCAAACUGGAGUGUGUGAGAGGAUAGUGGAAUUCCAGGUGUAGGAGUGAAAUCCGUAGAUAUCUGGAGGAACAUCAGUGGCGAAGGCGACUAUCUGGCACAUAACUGACGCUGAGGAGCGAAAGCGUGGGUAGCAAACAGGAUUAGAUACCCCGGUAGUC
RNAcentral lists this ribosomal RNA (465 nucleotides) under uncultured bacterium. Its description in RNAcentral is "partial 16S ribosomal RNA". It matches the Rfam family "Bacterial small subunit ribosomal RNA", at positions 338 to 795 of the family's 1533-position model. The record is from RNAcentral.